AGUGGGAAAAACUAUUGAGUAUAUCAUAAACAUUAAUAAUAGACAACAUCCAAAUCAACUUUUGCAGGCAAUAAAGCAGAGGGUCUUUGGCUGCACGCAUAUGGCAGGAUAUAAAACCGGGAAUCUAGUUGUUGUCAAGCUUUUGUAGUUUUUGGUUUAUCAGGCUUGUACUUGCUGCCUUAUUUUGUUUUUGUUUCUUGGAAGUCCUCUUUCUAGAGAGAACUCGAGCAUGCCACGUUUAGUAGAAAUGAUCGAGACUAUGGAAACGGUUAACAUUCUAUACACAUUGAUAUUUGUUACUGUUACAAACACUCCUAUGCUAAAGCAUGGGUAAAACAGAAAUGGAAAGAAAGACUCGGAGAGCCUCAGAGAGUGUGAAGAAGACUGGCAGUAUGCAUCACUUUGAUCAUGACUCAUGAGAAAGAAACAAUUACUUGAC
Long non-coding RNA from Solanum tuberosum (potato), 439 nucleotides. RefSeq lists it as uncharacterized. The transcript has 2 exons. NCBI's taxonomy places the organism in Eukaryota, Viridiplantae, Streptophyta, Magnoliopsida, Solanales, Solanaceae. The record is from RefSeq and is a predicted model, not a curated record.